AAUCUCACUCUAUCACUCAGGCUGGAGUGCAUUGGCACGAUCUUGGCUCAUUGCAACCUCUGCCUCCUGGGUUCAAGUAAUUCUCAUGCCUCAGCCACCCAACAUAGCUGGGAUUACAGAUGCCCUGGAAUACACUUGUGUCAGUGACAAAUGCUGCUUUGCUGUGCUACACCGAGUACAAGGUCGUGUCCAGUGAUUCAAGUUUGACACACCACACCACGGUGGAUGUGCCUUUCAUGACGCAUCUUCUCAGCAGCACUAGAAGAUACAUCCAAAGUCCUGUGAGCAAGGACACAGCGAGAAGAUGGCUGUCUA
This 315-nucleotide long non-coding RNA is filed under the name Homo sapiens (human). Its description in RNAcentral is "HSALNT0078813". Lineage: Eukaryota; Metazoa; Chordata; Mammalia; Primates; Hominidae. The record is from RNAcentral.